GAUGAACGCUGGCGGCGUGCUUAACACAUGCAAGUCGAACGAUGAAGCCCAGCUGGCUGCGUGGAUUAGUGGCAAACGGGUGAGUAACACGUGAGUAUACUGCACUUGACUCUGGGAUAGGCCCGGGAAACUGGGACUAAUACUGGAUAUGACUUCUAAUCUCAUGGUGGGGGGUGGAAAGAUUUAGUGGUCUUGGUUGGAGUCGCGGCUUAUCAGAUUGUUGGUGAGGUAAUGGCUAACUAAGGCGACGGCGGGUAGCCGGCCUGAGAGGGUGACCGGCCACACUGGGACUGAGACACGGCCCAGACUCCUACGGGAGGCAGCGGUGGGGAAUAUUGCACAAUGGGCGCAAGCCGGAUGCAGCGACGCCGCGUUAGGGAUGACGGCCUUCCGGUUGUAAACCUCUUUCAGUAGGGAAGAAGCGAGAUUGACGGUACCUGCAGAAGAAGCUCCGGCUAACUACGUG
This 466-nucleotide ribosomal RNA is filed under the name uncultured bacterium. RNAcentral's name for it is "partial 16S ribosomal RNA". It matches the Rfam family "Bacterial small subunit ribosomal RNA", at positions 28 to 507 of the family's 1533-position model. The record is from RNAcentral.